GGGGGGAAUGCCGGGUCUUGGGCUGUGUCCCCCAGCGCCCUGGGCUCCAGGGCCUCCGCCGCUGGAAUCGUGGUCCUGGGGCCACACAGCCCCCU
Molecule: microRNA precursor, 95 nt
Filed under: Canis lupus familiaris (dog)
Lineage: Eukaryota; Metazoa; Chordata; Mammalia; Carnivora; Canidae
Also listed under: 1 other name
Description: mir-8799 microRNA precursor family
Rfam family: mir-8799 microRNA precursor family
Source: Rfam by way of RNAcentral